Molecule: non-coding RNA, 189 nt
Organism: Vicia faba (fava bean)
Lineage: Eukaryota; Viridiplantae; Streptophyta; Magnoliopsida; Fabales; Fabaceae
Source: the annotation of a GenBank genome assembly
AUGGUUGAUCAGACUCAAGAUAACCAGAACGUCCGUGUCAUCAACAUUAAAAAUAACAUCAUCGACAAUAAUGUCGGCCUCGACAACGCUGGUACCGUCGGCCAUAACACGGUCCCUGGCGUCAACAUGCCCGAACCUUCUAACUGUAGGGAAGGAGCCACGACUUCUUCUUCAUCAAUCCCUCCUUGA